This is a long non-coding RNA of Chrysemys picta bellii (western painted turtle), 574 nucleotides long. RefSeq lists it as uncharacterized. Lineage: Eukaryota; Metazoa; Chordata; Testudines; Emydidae. The record is from RefSeq and is a predicted model, not a curated record.
CAUCCUCUUCCUCCUCCCCCCGGCUCUUUGUCCUCCUUUCUCAGGCCAUUUCUGUGGGGCCCGGCGCUUUGGCAGCUAAGAACCUUUGGGUCUGGCUCUUAGCAACGUGGAGGCCGCUCCGGCAGCUCCCAGGGGCCUUAAAGCGGGUGGAAAGGAGCCCCUGAGAACCCACAUGCUGCGCAGGGGGCAUCCCUGACUGCACAGCGCCUAAGGGCCCUGCUCCCAGCUAGCAAUGUAGGUGGCGUGUCGGGGGUGUGGCCGGUGGGCACCGUGCUGUGGCUAUUCCCAAUCCCAGCGGCCACGUGGAGCAGCGUGAUACAGGUCGUGCGUCACUGCUAACGAGAAUAAAAGAAAUGAUCUACAACCUCUAGAAAACGGGGUACCUGACACUUUCACGCACAUGUGCUGAGUACGAGGUGUAGUCUGAAUCCCAUUAUAAAAGAAGGUUAGGAAAACUGACCUCCCUACGGGAAAACUCCAGCAGGAACCAUCUCUCUACUGCUCCACGAGAGACCCGUCACACCCUAAGACCAUCUAGGAGGACACGCCAAGGAGGGAAAUUAAAAAAGAAUAA